ACAAAAUAAAAUAAAACCCUCUCUCCUCUUAAUUUCUUCUCAAUCUUUCACCGUCUCUCUCCCAUCUCUUCUUCUUCGCGCAUCAAACCCUAGCCUCCUCCGCUCUUCAUCUCCUCUAAUUUCUCUUCUAUCUCUUUUUCUUUUUCUCAUACAAAGAAGUAAGAAAUAUCAUGUCAAGAACAAGGAUAUAUAGAAGUUCCUUGAUGGUAUCUACUUCAAGAAAGAGAAGUUGGAGCUUGGAGGUGAUCAAUACAAGUGAAGUUCGAUAACAAGAGCUCAGCUGUGUUGCAAUGAACAUCCUGAACUGGGGAGUUGCAUACCUGGAAUAGACGACAGACAUGAUAAUAGUGGUGACGAUGGAAAGUGUUGGAGUUUAUGCUCUUCUGGCUGUGUAAAAGGAGGAUUCUGCAAGCCAAAUAACCAUAUAUGCCAUUGUUAUUGUUGAAUAUAUUUCACAUCUAUGCAACCUUUCUUUCACCUUCAUUAUAUUUCAAUAUUUCAAGUGCAUGACGUUGCUCUUCCAUAAAUUAUGUUUUGGUUAAUAAAUAUCAAUAAUAAGAAAGGAAGUACCCAUCA
Cucumis melo (muskmelon) is the source of this 576-nucleotide long non-coding RNA. RefSeq lists it as uncharacterized. The record is from RefSeq and is a predicted model, not a curated record. Lineage: Eukaryota; Viridiplantae; Streptophyta; Magnoliopsida; Cucurbitales; Cucurbitaceae. The transcript has 3 exons.